UUGGCUUUUGUGAAAAACUCCACUAUUGGCCUUUUACAGAAAUUUCUUUCCUUUUUUUUCGGUUUAAGGAUGUAAUCUUAAUUGUAAGGAUUUAAAGAAUGUUCAAGUUAUAUUUAGCCCUAUAUUUUAAAAUAAUCGAUUAAUAUUUUGAGAUUCCAUUCACCGCUUUCGUCAGAGAAUCUGGAAUAUUACACAAACAGAUCCAUUUUCGUGAUCUUUCUUGUCGGUUGCCAAACGUGAAGAUGACCAGAGGAGAACUUUCGUGGCUCAUCAAAGGUUUGAUAAACGAAGAGAAAUUGAACAAAGGCCUGACCUUGGACCGUUGUAUGAGGGCAUCACUGCAAAACCACCCACAUAUGUAGUUUUAGGUCAUACCCAUCAUUUUGACGGUAAAGAUAUAGGUUCAGUAUGGUGAGCUCCAAGAGACGAGCAUUUCAGAGUUGCGCCAUAUUUAGUAAACAAAUCGGUGUUCUAGUCAUUUUGUUGAGUAUUAAUUUCUGAUUUGUCGUAAUGGCAGAAUCCGAUUGGUAACACAUAUGAAGCUUCGUCUUAGGUGAUAAUCCGAGUGACCCUAGAGUAAAGGCUUGGAGCCUUGGAGAUAAUACUCUGUGAUCUAUCAGAGAAAAACCCUAAUUUGAUGGAUUCGACUAACAGUUUGAAGAUAUGACUAACAGUUCGUCUUGGGCGCACACCCAAAUCCCAACGACAAUGAAAAGAGGGUAACAAUUCUUUGUUUGAUUCGAAUUUGGAAAAAUAUCCAUGUUCAGAAUUACAAAUACAUCUUGUACCAGAAGUUCGGGAACUAUUCUAAAACGGUUUUGCAUCUCAAUGCCGAAAACCUGUUUUCGUUUUGCUUUACUUUAAUGUACUCUUGUUUUUCUAUUGCCUUUAUUCUUCAGAGUUUAGUGUCAGAAUCAAAUUUGAAACAUUAACUCUGGAAAAAAAAAAAAAAUUGAUAGAUUACCUAUUGCUUCAAUCUCCAUGCUAACGUUUCUCGCGAAUCCAAAAACAGUUUUGAAUAUGAAUUUAUAACACUACAUCUUGAACUAUUAUAUCCAUUCAGAAUCGUUGUUUGCACUAUUUUUAUUGAGUUUUCUUGUAGAUUUUGAUCAAGAAUCAAGGAUACUGACAUAAGCGUUCCAAUUGGGCUUGGUAUGAUGCUAACGUCUUAUUCUGGCUUUGUAAAAAGGCAAGAGAGCAAGUACUGUUUAGAAGUUGUUUCGUAGCUUUGUGGCUCCUCGAAUAGCUUGUUUUACCACAGACACAAAUGGACUGCGUGUGUUCGUGGGAGGAGUGGUGAUAAAAGAUGCUUGUUUUCACAGUUUCAAUAACCCCCACAAGGGAUGUGGAGUCGCUGCCAUUUGAGUAAUCAGAAGCUGGGUGGGGUGAAUUUGAAAUGGCCUCUUUAUUUUCGCAACGAUGUUUGUGAUGAGCCAUUGAACUUGAAAUGAAAGCACGUACGUGGUGUGGAUGAUUUUAAUACAUGCGAAUUCUGAAUCCUCUUUUCCAUCCAAGAGUGUCAUGUAUACUAAGGUGAGUCAAUGCAAAAGAAAUAAAUGCAUUCCAUACCAUUAAGUGGAAAACUAUAGAACAUAAUCUGGAUUAUGCUGCAUCACUUAUUCUGCUGGAUCUUCAGGAGCAUGCUCAUGCUCAGAUUAGGUGAAUCUGAUUCUAGAAACGGUUCUCUCCAAGAAACAGCACAUCCUCUAUAUGUGGUUUCUGCAGUUGUCAGAACAAGAAGCAUAUCAGGUUGUUCCAGAAGGUAUUGUUUUACAAUUUGAUGGGCUUAGGGAUGCUUGAAGGGAUUUAACCUGUAUCGAUUAGUAUUUAUGACUCAGGAAGACCAAUGUAACUAUUUAACUAGUUUGAAUGAAAUAUUUGUGUUUGUGUUAA
This is a long non-coding RNA of Juglans microcarpa x Juglans regia, 1893 nucleotides long. RefSeq lists it as uncharacterized. The record is from RefSeq and is a predicted model, not a curated record. NCBI's taxonomy places the organism in Eukaryota, Viridiplantae, Streptophyta, Magnoliopsida, Fagales, Juglandaceae. The transcript has 2 exons.